UACGUAGGGGGCUAGCGUUGUCCGGAAUCAUUGGGCGUAAAGCGCGCGUAGGCGGCCCGGUAAGUCCGCUGUAAAAGUCCAGGGCUCAACCCUGGAAAGCCGGUGGAUACUGUCGGGCUCGAGUCCGGAAGAGGCGAGUGGAAUUCCUGGUGUAGCGGUGGAAUGCGCAGAUAUCCGGAGGAACACCGGUGGCGAAGGCGGCUUCCUGGACCGACACUGACGCUGAGGCGCGAAAGCUAGGGGAGCAAACGGG
RNAcentral lists this ribosomal RNA (253 nucleotides) under uncultured bacterium. RNAcentral describes it as "partial 16S ribosomal RNA". It matches the Rfam family "Bacterial small subunit ribosomal RNA", at positions 524 to 776 of the family's 1533-position model. The record is from RNAcentral.